RNAcentral lists this ribosomal RNA (764 nucleotides) under uncultured bacterium. RNAcentral describes it as "bacterial SSU rRNA". It matches the Rfam family "Bacterial small subunit ribosomal RNA", at positions 79 to 841 of the family's 1533-position model. The record is from RNAcentral.
CUUGCUUCUCUUGAGAGCGGCGGACGGGUGAGUAAUGCCUAGGAAUCUGCCUGGUAGUGGGGGAUAACGUCCGGAAACGGACGCUAAUACCGCAUACGUCCUACGGGAGAAAGCAGGGGACCUUCGGGCCUUGCGCUAUCAGAUGAGCCUAGGUCGGAUUAGCUAGUUGGUGGGGUAAUGGCUCACCAAGGCGACGAUCCGUAACUGGUCUGAGAGGAUGAUCAGUCACACUGGAACUGAGACACGGUCCAGACUCCUACGGGAGGCAGCAGUGGGGAAUAUUGGACAAUGGGCGAAAGCCUGAUCCAGCCAUGCCGCGUGUGUGAAGAAGGUCUUCGGAUUGUAAAGCACUUUAAGUUGGGAGGAAGGGCAGUAAAUUAAUACUUUGCUGUUUUGACGUUACCGACAGAAUAAGCACCGGCUAACUCUGUGCCAGCAGCCGCGGUAAUACAGAGGGUGCAAGCGUUAAUCGGAAUUACUGGGCGUAAAGCGCGCGUAGGUGGUUCGUUAAGUUGGAUGUGAAAUCCCCGGGCUCAACCUGGGAACUGCAUUCAAAACUGACGAGCUAGAGUAUGGUAGAGGGUGGUGGAAUUUCCUGUGUAGCGGUGAAAUGCGUAGAUAUAGGAAGGAACACCAGUGGCGAAAGCGACCACCUGGACUGAUACUGACACUGAGUGCGAAAGCGUGGGGAGCAAACAGAUUAGAUACCCUGGUAGUCCACGCCGUAAACGAUGUCAACUAGCCGUUGGGAGCCUUGAGCUCUU